AUUGAACGCUGGCGGCAGGCCUAACACAUGCAAGUCGAGCGAGCGGCGGGCGGGUGAGUAAUGCUUAGGAACCUGCUUAUCAGUUGGGGACAACAUCUCGAAAGGGAUGCUAAUACCGCACACUAAUAGUUGAGCCUAAGUCGGAUUAGCUAGUUGGUGGGGUAAAGGCCUACCAAGGCGACGAUCUGUAGCGGGUCUGAGAGGAUGAUCCGCCAAACUGGAACUGAGACACGGCCCAGACUCCUACGGGAGGCAGCAGUGGGGAAUAUUGGACAAUGGGGGAAACCCUGAUCCAGCAAGGCCGCGUGUGUGAAGAAGGCUUCGGGUUGUAAAGCACGUUCAGCGGGGAGGCGUUACCCGAAGAAGAAGCACCGGCUAACUCCGUGCCAGCAGCCGCGGUAAUUC
This 405-nucleotide ribosomal RNA is filed under the name uncultured bacterium. RNAcentral describes it as "partial 16S ribosomal RNA". It matches the Rfam family "Bacterial small subunit ribosomal RNA", at positions 30 to 526 of the family's 1533-position model. The record is from RNAcentral.